UAUAUGGCACUGUUGUGGGGUUAUUACACACGCUAGCUGCUGGAACAUAUCUAUAAAUAAAUGAAAAACAAGUGUUGAAUUUUUUUAAAAUUCAAUAUGAACAUGUUGUAUCCACGAGUCAGCUCAGUUGUCAGACUUCAAAUGUCCUCGCCACACCCAUGACCUGGCAGAAAUUAGAUGUAGAGAAGAAUAAAUUAAACUAAUAACACUAUCAAGUUUUCAUGUGAGCCAUGUGUAGAAAAAUAAGUACCUCUUUAUUAGAACGCAGGAAUUUCAAAGCAAAAUAUGGGAUUCAAUAAAUAAAAAAAAAAGGUCGUUUCAAAGAGGCCUAAGCGAUUGUUUCUGCAAGUUCUGAAGGUUAUACACUAUAUACACCGCUCCAUCCAAACAUGUUACAUUAGUAAUUUCUUCUACUUUCAUUUGUCCUCAUGGUCGUCAUCAUGCAUGGAGUAUAUGAUAUGAUAUAUAUGCACCUUGUCCAUACUGGUACGUAGCACAUCCACAACUACCAGUACACUAAAUAAAACUACACACCGCACAUAUAGUUGGAGCACUCAUCAGAUAUGCAAUUAUAUAUAUAUAAUAAUACCAACGUUUAAUAAUCUGGUUGGCUCACAUCUUUGUGCACUAAAGAGUGUUCGUUGGUCAGGGCCGGGACCCGGCAUGCCAUGGCAUAUGCUACCCAGCAACCUAACGCUCAUGUAUAGUAUUUAUUAUCGAUAUCGAUUUGAUUUAGUUAUUUGGUUGGCGUUAAUUACUCUUGGCCGGUAGUUAUGACGUCGACUGAGAGAGAGAGCCUUUCUGUUUUGUCGAUCUGCAAGCUAAGACGAUUGCCUAAACUGUCAGCACACACAAAGCAAACUCGUGUACACAUCCAUCCUGCAUGCCGUUAGUUGAGUACGUACACACGGCUAAGUUUGUGUAACCAGCUAGCUGCGUUGGUGAAACUUGUGAAGGUUUGGUUUCACUUCCGUGUAAAACAUGCAUGCAUGUGACUUGGCGAAGACUUGGCCGCACCACACCAAAGUAGUUAGUGCUGCUAUAUCUACACGGCGACCCCAGUACAAGCUUUUAGGUGAAUCUAACUAACCACAGUUACUACCACUAGCUAGCUGGGCUGGAGUGAGCUACUCUCUCUUUCAAUGUCGUUUUUUUUUACAUUUAGACUUCUAUUUGAUCAUUCGUCCUAUUCAAAAAUUUUAUAUAAAUAUUAUUUAUUUUAUUAUAACUUGUUUUAUCAAUAAAAAUACUUUAAUAAUAAUUUAUUAAUUUUUAUUAUUUGUAUAAAAAAAUUAAAUAAGAUAAAUAGUCAAAUAAGAAAUCUUAAAGUCAAAAACGAUAUUUUAAUAGUGCCUAGCUGCAUCGGGGUGGACAGUGAUGUACUCCUCCUACGUACAGCUGCUACUGUUGCUGAGAUUUCGAUCAAUUUUAUAUAAAUAUUAUUUAUUUUAUUAUAACUUGUUUUAUCAAUAAAAAUACUUUAAUAAUAAUUUAUUAAUUUUUAUUAUUUGUAUAAAAAAUUAAAUAAGAUAAAUAGUCAAAUAAGAAAUCUUAAAGUCAAAAACGAUAUUUUAAUAGUGCCUAGCUGCAUCGGGGUGGACAGUGAUGUACUCCUCCUACGUACAGCUGCUACUGUUGCUGAGAUUUCGAUCGAUCGACACACAUGUGUGCAUGUGCAUGGCAUGGAUGGACCGGGAUCAAAAGCUAGCUAGCUUGUCCUGCCGAGCUCCUUUAUUUGUCUAGACGAAACAACAUUGCUUGCUCCAUCUUUCAAAACUUGCUCGGAUUGGAAGUCGGAACACGAAGCUGAAACAUUUUAGGGGGGGUCCUCGGCAGGAUGCAGCAAGUAGGCAUGCACUGUACGUACGUGCCCUGCCUGUCCUUGCUCCUCCUUGUCUCGUCUCCAAUAGGCAUCACUCCACUGGAGGACUAUAUAUGUACGUAGACUGAACAGCUAAUAAUGCAAUAGUGUACAAUUGUAGAGCAUCAGUUUGGGUCAUCACUUGAUACAGUUUCACGAGACUACCACAACAUUCUAAAUGUAUGCGUGGAUUCUAUACGGUAUGGUAUGGUAUGGUAAACACUAACAAUUAACUGAUCGAUCGAUGGCGCGCGCAUGCAACACGUACGUACUGUGGUAGCUAGCUGCACUCCUCUUCAAUCUUUAUAUCCAUUCAAUUGUGCUGGUACGGCUUUUUAAUGCUGAUGAGACAUUGCGUUCCCUCUUCUUAAUUCGCCAUUAACUCGAAAGUUGUGGGCGCCUGCGCCUGCGUGUGCAUAUGCAUGGAUGCAUGGAUGCAGGAGGCGUACAUCGUACCGCGCGCGCCGGUGGAGCCGGCAUUGCCC
This 2346-nucleotide long non-coding RNA is filed under the name Sorghum bicolor (sorghum). Its description in RNAcentral is "long non-coding RNA (SBIC_LNC000654)". Lineage: Eukaryota; Viridiplantae; Streptophyta; Magnoliopsida; Poales; Poaceae. The record is from RNAcentral.